This 1126-nucleotide non-coding RNA is filed under the name Caenorhabditis japonica. Its description in RNAcentral is "rRNA CJA48403". It matches the Rfam family "Eukaryotic small subunit ribosomal RNA", at positions 271 to 1451 of the family's 1831-position model. Lineage: Eukaryota; Metazoa; Nematoda; Chromadorea; Rhabditida; Rhabditidae. The record is from Rfam by way of RNAcentral.
GUCAGUUUCGACUGACUCUUCCCGAGAAGGGUGUCUGCCCUUUCAACUAGAAUGGUUAAUCUAUUGGACUACCAUGGUUGUUACGGGUAAACGGAGAAUUAGGGUUCGACUCCGGAGAGGGAGCCUUAGAAACGGCUACCACGUCCAAGGAAGGCAGCAGGCGCGAAACUUAUCCACUGUUGAGUAUGAGAUAGUGACUAAAAAUAUAAAGACUCAUCCUUUUGGAUGAGUUAUUUCAAUGAGUUGAAUAUAAAUUAUUCUUCGAGUAGCAAGGAGAGGGCAAGUCUGGUGCCAGCAGCCGCGGUAAUUCCAGCUCUCCUAGUGUAUCUCGUUAUUGCUGCGGUUAAAAAGCUCGUAGUUGGAUCUAGGUUACGUGCCGCAGUUCGCAAUUUGCGUUAACUGUGGUCGUGACUUCUAAUUUGCUGGUUUGAGGUUGGGUUCGCCCUUCAACUGCCAGCAGGUUUACCUUGAAUAAAUCAGAGUGCUCAAUACAGGCGCUUGCUUGAAUAGCUCAUCAUGGAAUAAUGAAACAGGACUUCGGUUCUUUUUGUUGGUUCUAGAAUUGAUCUAAUGGUUAAGAGGGACAAACCGGGGGCAUUCGAUCAUUACGCGAGAGGUGAAAUUCGUGGACCGUAGUGAGACGCCCAAUAGCGAAAGCAUUUGCCAAGAAUGUCUUCAUUAAUCAAGAACGAAAGUCAGAGGUUCGAAGGCGAUUAGAUACCGCCCUAGUUCUGACCGUAAACGAUGCCAUCUCGCGAUUCGGAGGGUUCAUGCCCUACCGAGGAGCUACCCGGAAACGAAAGUCUUUCGGUUCCGGGGGUAGUAUGGUUGCAAAGCUGAAACUUAAAGAAAUUGACGGAAGGGCACCACAAGGCGUGGAGCUUGCGGCUUAAUUUGACUCAACACGGGAAAACUCACCCGGUCCGGACACUAUUAGGACUGACAGAUUGAAAGCUCUUUCUCGAUUUGGUGGUUGGUGGUGCAUGGCCGUUCUUAGUUGGUGGAGUGAUUUGUCUGGUUUAUUCCGAUAACGAGCGAGACUCUAGCCUGCUAAAUAGUCGACGAAUCUUCGGGUUCGUAUAACUUCUUAGAGGGAUAAGCGGUGUUUAGCCGCACGAGAUUGAGC